RNAcentral lists this long non-coding RNA (884 nucleotides) under Olea europaea (common olive). Its description in RNAcentral is "long non-coding RNA (OEUR_LNC003894)". Lineage: Eukaryota; Viridiplantae; Streptophyta; Magnoliopsida; Lamiales; Oleaceae. The record is from RNAcentral.
GCUUGUAGGCCUGCUUUUAUUUUCCAGUAACUUGUCUGAAAAUCUUAUGGAUAUCUUAAUUUUUAUUCAAAAAUAUCAUGGUCUACAAUGUAGUCCGUGGCGUCUAUGCUCAAGAAGAACUUUUCUGUUUCUGUAUUUGUUACUGAUGUCCUCUAGCGCAGGGAUGGGAAAGUAUUUUGCAGUUAUGAAGCUGUUAUUUUCUCCCAACUGUCGCAAGGCUUAUAGUUUUAUUGAUAAAAUAAUGCAAUUUUCCGCUGCUACUGUGCUAUAAGUUUGUGGAAUUUUCUUUUAGGGCAGCCAAAAAAUGAAAUAAAUGUGUUAUCCGUGUCUCAUAGUUACUGGUACUUGCUUUGAGUGCUUGUCCGUUUCAGAGUUUUUUUUUUUCCUUCCCUUUAUUUAGCUGUAUAAAUUUAUGCGUAUUCUCUUUUACCGGUUUCUGCUAAUUAUAUUUGUCCACCUCGUUUUCUUUUACUGCAGAAAUUACUCCGUGCAGUAGGCCUCUUUGCUGGUUCCAUCAUUGUGAUGCGCCAGUAUGGCGAUCUAAUGGCCAUAUGAAAGCGGAUGAUGGUUGUCUGUCAUCGACUGUUUCUAGUAAAUUUAGGAUCGGUGGGGUCCUUCUGCAUUUUUUCGCUCAUCAUUUGUCUGAAUGAACUGAAACUUGUUAGAAUGAGUUUUCAAUUUUCGAAUUUUAGUUUUCGCUGACAAAAUACUUUCAUUAGUCAUGUAAUUUUUGAGGUUUUGUUAUGAUAUGUUGUGAGGGUUGGAUUUGAUAGAAUUAAUUAAAAGGGAGUGUAUUCAAUUGUGAUUUUUAGAGACUUAAUGGAUAUUUAAUGUAGACUUUUUAAAACGAUUUAGAAAUAAAUAGAGACUUUUGUAGGCUUUUU